AUGGAGGUGCACCGGCUCCACCUCUCCAGGGUCGCUGCCAGACCUGAACGUGUGAGAAGACCGAGAAGGAGGCCCCGGCUCAACGGCCUCCAACCUCUUCCAGUCCUCCUCCCACCGUGGCUUGGGCCUUUUGUACCCGCCCCACGUGACCCCGCCGGCCGGCUCUUCCCUGCUGCCCCGCCCCGCCCAGCUCUUCCCGCUCUCGGCCUCCCCCCUCCCGCGCUGCCGGGUCUCCACCUCCCCUUGCCUCCCGCCCCAGGCUCUUCCCGCUCCCUCCCACAAGCAGCCGUUCCCUCGCGACGCUCCCCUCCCCACGCGGCUGUUCCGCCGCCUCGCCUCCCCUCCCCCCGUCCAGAACUCACUGUCUCCAAGAUGGCGGCCGUGUCAGUUUGGGACAUUUCAGCGGUCCGGCCUGGGGUCUCUCCUUUCUCCCGGCAGAGAGAAAAGAAGAAAGAUGAGAGAGAGAGCUUCCACGAGGACUGUGGAAGGGGACCAAAGUAUGGAAUCCUGGAGAGGAAAGCAGCUUCCACACUGCGUGGAAGGGAACCCCAGAGGGGGACAUUCCUGACAGAGAGAAAGCUUCCACAAGGAUGGUGGAAGGGGACCCAAAGAUGGAAUCGAAGGAGCGAGUCCCUGGUGGUCACGGCCUGGGUUUCGAAGGAGGCUUCCUCUGGAAACAGGCACAGGGUAUCAUAACCUGAAGCUGCCACUUCUCUUCCACGUGAAG
This 727-nucleotide long non-coding RNA is filed under the name Callithrix jacchus (white-tufted-ear marmoset). RNAcentral's name for it is "lncRNA (ENSCJAG00000080055.1)". Lineage: Eukaryota; Metazoa; Chordata; Mammalia; Primates; Cebidae. The record is from RNAcentral.